UACGGAGGGUGCAAGCGUUAAUCGGAAUUACUGGGCGUAGAGGGUGCGUAGGUUGUUUGAUAAGUUAUCUGUAAAAUCCCCGGGCUUAACCUGGGCAGGUCAGAUAAGACUGUUGAACUCGAGUAUAGGAGAGGGUAGUGGAAUUUCCGGUGUAGCGGUGAAAUGCGUAGAGAUCGGGAGGAACACCAGUGGCGAAGGCGGCUACCUGGCCGAAUACUGACACUGAGGCACGAAAGCGUGGGGAGCAAACAGG
Molecule: ribosomal RNA, 253 nt
Filed under: uncultured bacterium
Lineage: Bacteria
Description: partial 16S ribosomal RNA
Rfam family: Bacterial small subunit ribosomal RNA
Source: RNAcentral